UGACAACCCUGUCACCUGCUCCCCCAGCAACCGCUUUGUGUUAUUUUGGUUCUGGCUGCAGCUUGAUUAAAUCAUCCUCAAGCGUGAAGUAUCACACGAGGAAGCGUAAAGAAAAGCAACCGACUGCACGGGCGUUUAAGGAAAUCAGUGCACGUGUAAGUGAAGGUUGACUGAACUAAUGGGCAGUGAAAGCCAUUACGGACUAAAGCAGCAGAUCCCAUCACGACCAAACUGUACCAGACCUGGAACGCCACCCCACUCCUUUCCUGUAACCGCCGGCUCGCCACGGGGAAACAACCCCCCCCCCCCGACGCAAAUGUAUCCUGAUGCAUCCCUUCACGGUGUCCCCGCUGUCCCCGCUGUCCCCUGCUCCCUCCGUCCUCCCUCUGGGGACAAUGAGGCUUUAUCAGCUUGUUGUUUUCAUACUGAGUAUUUAUUUUGUUAUUCAUGCUUUUGUGCCCUGAUUCAGAGGUCUCCCAUGGGGCUUUACAGGGAAUGUUGAGUACAGUACAGUUGAUGUUGUUGCAAUUAUUAUUUCCACAAAAUAUGUUUAUACUAUGGAGAGAAGCUGGAUCUUUCAACCUUUGUCUUUAUAAUCACUUUUUGUUAACUUUUUUCAUUUAUCCGCUUGUGUACAAACACGUUUAUGUAAAUUCUCAAUGGCGGCACAGUUAAAGUGAGAUAAGAUUAUCCGUUAUUAGUGCCGCGCGGGGAAAUGCGCAGUAAGACAGCAGCAAAGGGAAUAGUGCAAUGAGACAUAAAUUAACCGUAAAACAAACAAAAACUGAAACAAGAUAUAAUUGGACUGAAUGGUUGAGUUCACUUUAUUGCACAAAUGGGGGAAGUUGAUGCUGCACAGUAGCACACAUGACAUUAGCAGAUGAAUAACCAUGUUUUUGGGGAAAUGGGUGAACGGAUUCAGGUUGAAAUCUCCAUCUGGCUCCCAUGUUUUCUCCAAAUUGUGAUUUCCGUUGUUUUCAGCCAGUUUAAACGACCUUAAUUUGAAACUGUGGAUUAUUGGACUGAUGAUCCGUAGUUCAGUGGCUUCCUGCAGAAGUCCAACAGUAAUGUUCCGCUUCCUUUAGACGAGGUGCAUAUUCAAGCUGUCAGCGGGACUUCUGCCCCUUUUUACUCUCGUAACAUAAUUAGCUUUUAUUUUUGUGAUGGGAGCUGUUGGAAUCAUAUGGGAAUGCCAUAAAAUAGAAAUAUUUCACUAUAAAAUAAAUACUGUGGCUUAUCAUUCAAAAAGACAGAAUCUAUUACGCAGCAACACAGGGUGAAUUUUAGAGUCCUUGGAAGGACGUACUGUAAAUAUUACAGGAUCAAAUGAUUGGUAUAUUAAAGCCCUAAUAAUCCAAAGUUUUGGGAUGAAAUCUACCAAACAUCCCGCCUGGAAUCGCUCACACCCGCCCGCUGGCAACGUAGCAUGUUGGCUCUAAACGGCAGUGGAGGAUACGUAAAAUCCUACUGCCUCCGGCUUCACACAGGAAAAUGCUCUCAGAAUCCCCAGCCGACUACAUAUUUCCUGCUUUAUUUUUUUAAAGAGUCUUAAAUGUAAAUGGUUCUUGACAAUGUGCCACUGAAACCAAAUGUUUUUUCUUUAGAAGAGGACCGUUAUAGACAGCAGGGGCCCAUUGAAGUAUUUAUAUUUAUGAUAACAUGGCAUUUUGUAUUUACUGUAGAAUUAGUGCACGUCAUCGUAGCCUUUAAUGUCUCCUUGUGUUUCCAACUAACCCGAGGAAACUACAGCGUUAACCAGAGUUCAACGGGCCGCUGACACGACCUCUGACCUGACCUCUGGAAGAAAAGCGACCUGAUGAAACGAUGGCUGCCAGGUCCUUCUCUUCCCCCCGGCCGUCUCCUAACGCACCCGUCGCCGUGUCCUCGGAUGUGUGCUCAGUGGAGGAGAAACUGCUUUAUGGACAAAGGCUUCCCGGCUGUCCGCACUUUGUGCGACGUGGUCACACAAAGUGUAAAGAGACG
Molecule: long non-coding RNA, 1983 nt
Organism: Gasterosteus aculeatus aculeatus (three-spined stickleback)
Lineage: Eukaryota; Metazoa; Chordata; Actinopteri; Perciformes; Gasterosteidae
Source: Ensembl